Molecule: ribosomal RNA, 198 nt
Filed under: uncultured bacterium
Lineage: Bacteria
Description: partial 16S ribosomal RNA
Rfam family: Bacterial small subunit ribosomal RNA
Source: RNAcentral
ACUCCUACGGGAGGCAGCAGUGGGGAAUAUUGGACAAUGGGGGGAACCCUGAUCCAGCCAUGCCGCGUGUGUGAAGAAGGCCUUUUGGUUGUAAAGCACUUUAAGCGAGGAGGAGGCUACUGAGAUUAAUACUCUUGGAUAGUGGACGUUACUCGCAGAAUAAGCACCGGCUAACUCUGUGCCAGCAGCCGCGGUAAU